AAAAAUCCGGCUGAGACGGCCUGGGCCGCUGCCACGCGCGGGCGUUAUUCUCCACCCACCUGCGGCCUGAAGAUGCCUGAGGCCCGGACUCUCAGACCCCUAUUGCCCUUUGGUGCUGGAGGCCCAGCGGCAGCCUGAAGCCCAAGAGAGUGGAGCCUCGCGAAAUGAGGAACCUGGCACAAGAGACAGGAUUUCACCAUGUUGGCCGUGCUGGUCUUGAACUCCUGACCUCAAGUGAUUUGCCUGCUUUGGCCUCCCAAAGUGCUGGGAUUACAGACAUGAGUCACCAUGCCCUGCCUGCAGCUUCUUCUUGAAGUGUUCUGGACUUGGAAGAUUUGUUGAAUUACUAUGAAGUCACAUCUAAAGUUUGAAAGAGAUCGGGUCUCACUAUUUUGCCCACGCUGGUCUUGAACUCCUGUCCUCAAGCAGGAUAUCCUCCUGCCUUGGCCUCCCAAAGUUCUGGGAUUACAGUCUCGCUCUGUCGCCAGGCUGGAGUGCACGCUGGAGCGCGAUCUUGUCUUACUACAACCUCUGCCUCCCAGAUUCAAGCGAUUUUCCUGCCUCAGCCUCCCGAGUAGCUGGG
RNAcentral lists this long non-coding RNA (583 nucleotides) under Homo sapiens (human). Its description in RNAcentral is "non-protein coding lnc-OTUD7B-2:2". Lineage: Eukaryota; Metazoa; Chordata; Mammalia; Primates; Hominidae. The record is from RNAcentral.